AUGGGCUGUGAAAGUGCUUCUCGGCAUCCUCCGACUGCUCUUCAUCUCCUUCUCUGCACAGGCAAAACAUAUCGGGUCCAGUUGAUGGUGUUAGAGGAGAUAUUCACACGAGGGAUAAAAAUGUGAAUCAAUUGAUGAGAACAUAUAAAAGCAAUUUCAACCACACCUGCUACGAGAACAGCGAACAGUAGCAAGGCAUGGAAGAGGGCCGAAGGCAGUGAUAUUGUUGCAGGUUACUGAAAGGGGAGAAUAUUCACAGUCCUGUGAUUCAAGAUAGCGGGCAAGACGAUCA
RNAcentral lists this long non-coding RNA (292 nucleotides) under Linum usitatissimum (flax). RNAcentral's name for it is "long non-coding RNA (LUSI_LNC000942)". The record is from RNAcentral. Lineage: Eukaryota; Viridiplantae; Streptophyta; Magnoliopsida; Malpighiales; Linaceae.